This 465-nucleotide ribosomal RNA is filed under the name Vreelandella stevensii. RNAcentral describes it as "partial 16S ribosomal RNA". It matches the Rfam family "Bacterial small subunit ribosomal RNA", at positions 338 to 795 of the family's 1533-position model. Lineage: Bacteria; Pseudomonadati; Pseudomonadota; Gammaproteobacteria; Oceanospirillales; Halomonadaceae. The record is from RNAcentral.
CCUACGGGGCGCUGCAGUGGGGAAUAUUGGACAAUGGGCGAAAGCCUGAUCCAGCCAUGCCGCGUGUGUGAAGAAGGCCUUCGGGUUGUAAAGCACUUUCAGUGGGGAAGAAAGCCUUGGGGCUAAUACCCUCGAGGAAGGACAUCACCCACAGAAGAAGCACCGGCUAACUCCGUGCCAGCAGCCGCGGUAAUACGGAGGGUGCGAGCGUUAAUCGGAAUUACUGGGCGUAAAGCGCGCGUAGGCGGUCUGAUAAGCCGGUUGUGAAAGCCCCGGGCUCAACCUGGGAACGGCAUCCGGAACCGUCAGGCUAGAGUGCAGGAGAGGAAGGUAGAAUUCCCGGUGUAGCGGUGAAAUGCGUAGAGAUCGGGAGGAAUACCAGUGGCGAAGGCGGCCUUCUGGACUGACACUGACGCUGAGGUGCGAAAGCGUGGGUAGCAAACAGGAUUAGAUACCCGAGUAGUC